RNAcentral lists this ribosomal RNA (169 nucleotides) under Geothelphusa dehaani. Its description in RNAcentral is "partial 16S rRNA". Lineage: Eukaryota; Metazoa; Arthropoda; Malacostraca; Decapoda; Potamidae. The record is from RNAcentral.
ACUUUACAUUGUAGUUAUAUUUUAUUGAAUUUACAAAUAAAAAUUUAAUUUAAUUAUUUGUUAUGUUGGGGAGACAUAAGUAAAAUUUAUUUUAACUGCUUAGUAGUUUAUAACAAUUAUUAGUGAUAAUUUUGUAGAAGAUCCUUUUUGAAGAUUAAUAGGUUAAGUU